RNAcentral lists this ribosomal RNA (421 nucleotides) under Sphingomonas sp. iEII15. Its description in RNAcentral is "bacterial SSU rRNA". It matches the Rfam family "Bacterial small subunit ribosomal RNA", at positions 8 to 456 of the family's 1533-position model. Lineage: Bacteria; Pseudomonadati; Pseudomonadota; Alphaproteobacteria; Sphingomonadales; Sphingomonadaceae. The record is from RNAcentral.
AGAGUUUGAUCCUGGCUCAGAAUGAACGCUGGCGGCAUGCCUAACACAUGCAAGUCGAACGAANGCUUCGGCCUUAAGUGGGGCACGGGUGCGUAACGCGUGGGAAUCUGCCCCUUGGUUCGGAAUAACAGUUGGAAACGACUGCUAAUACCGGAUGAUGACGUAAGUCCAAAGAUUUAUCGCCGAGGGAUGAGCCCGCGUAGGAUUAGGUAGUUGGUGUGGUAAAGGCGCACCAAGCCGACGAUCCUUAGCUGGUCUGAGAGGAUGAUCAGCCACACUGGGACUGAGACACGGCCCAGACUCUCUACGGGAGGCAGCAGUGGGGAAUAUUGGACAAUGGCGAAAGCCUGAUCCAGCAAUGCCGCGUGAGUGAUGAAGGCCUUAGGGUUGUAAAGCUCUUUUACCCGGGAUGAUAAUGACA